UACGUAGGUGGCAAGCGUUGUCCGGAUUUACUGGGUGUAAAGGGCGUGUAGGCGGGCUGUCAAGUCAGAUGUGAAAUCUAUGGGCUUAACCCAUAACGUGCAUUUGAAACUGAUAGUCUUGAGUGAUGGAGAGGCAGGCGGAAUUCCUAGUGUAGCGGUGAAAUGCGUAGAUAUUAGGAGGAACACCAGUGGCGAAGGCGGCCUGCUGGACAUUAACUGACGCUGAGGCGCGAAAGCGUGGGGAGCAAACAGGAUUAGA
This 259-nucleotide ribosomal RNA is filed under the name uncultured prokaryote. Its description in RNAcentral is "partial 16S ribosomal RNA". It matches the Rfam family "Bacterial small subunit ribosomal RNA", at positions 524 to 782 of the family's 1533-position model. The record is from RNAcentral.